Molecule: ribosomal RNA, 712 nt
Filed under: uncultured Staphylococcus sp.
Lineage: Bacteria; Bacillati; Bacillota; Bacilli; Caryophanales; Staphylococcaceae
Description: bacterial SSU rRNA
Rfam family: Bacterial small subunit ribosomal RNA
Source: RNAcentral
CGUGCCUAAUACAUGCAAGUCGAGCGAACAGACGAGGAGCUUGCUCCUCUGACGUUAGCGGCGGACGGGUGAGUAACACGUGGAUAACCUACCUAUAAGACUGGGAUAACUUCGGGAAACCGGAGCUAAUACCGGAUAAUAUAUUGAACCGCAUGGUUCAAUAGUGAAAGACGGUUUUGCUGUCACUUAUAGAUGGAUCCGCGCCGCAUUAGCUAGUUGGUAAGGUAACGGCUUACCAAGGCAACGAUGCGUAGCCGACCUGAGAGGGUGAUCGGCCACACUGGAACUGAGACACGGUCCAGACUCCUACGGGAGGCAGCAGUAGGGAAUCUUCCGCAAUGGGCGAAAGCCUGACGGAGCAACGCCGCGUGAGUGAUGAAGGUCUUCGGAUCGUAGAACUCUGUUAUUAGGGAAGAACAAAUGUGUAAGUAACUAUGCACGUCUUGACGGUACCUAAUCAGAAAGCCACGGCUAACUACGUGCCAGCAGCCGCGGUAAUACGUAGGUGGCAAGCGUUAUCCGGAAUUAUUGGGCGUAAAGCGCGCGUAGGCGGUUUUUUAAGUCUGAUGUGAAAGCCCACGGCUCAACCGUGGAGGGUCAUUGGAAACUGGAAAACUUGAGUGCAGAAGAGGAAAGUGGAAUUCCAUGUGUAGCGGUGAAAUGCGCAGAGAUAUGGAGGAACACCAGUGGCGAAGGCGACUUUCUGGUCUGU